GUAACGCGUAGAUAAUCUACCUGAUGAUUUGGGAUAACACUUCGAAAGGGGUGCUAAUACCGAAUAAGCCCACGGAGUCCUUGGACACUGCGGGAAAAGGGGGGGACCUUCGGGCCUUCCGUCAUCAGAUGAGUCUGCGUACCAUUAGCUAGUUGGUAGGGUAAAGGCCUACCAAGGCGACGAUGGUUAGCUGGUCUGAGAGGAUGAUCAGCCACACUGGAACUGAGACACGGUCCAGACUCCUACGGGAGGCAGCAGUGGGGAAUUUUGCGCAAUGGGGGAAACCCUGACGCAGCAACGCCGCGUGAGUGAUGAAGGCCCUUGGGUCGUAAAGCUCUGACAGAGGGAAAGAAAUGUGGAGUGGCUAAUAACCGCACCACUUGACGGUACCCUCAAAGGAAGCACCGGCUAACUCCGUGCCGGCAGCCGCGGUAAUACGGGGGGUGCAAGCGUUGUUCGGAUUUAUUGGGCGUAAAGCGCGUGUAGGCGGUUUUUUAAGUCUGAUGUGAAAGCCCUGGGCUCAACCUGGGAAGUGCAUUGGAUACUGGAAGACUUGAAUACGGGAGAGGGCAGUGGAAUUCCUGGUGUAGGAGUGAAAUCCGUAGAUAUCAGGAGGAACACCGGUGGCGAAGGCGGCUGCCUGGACCGAUAUUGACGCUGAGACGCGAAAGCGUGGGUAGCAAACAGGAUUAGAUACCCUGGUAGUCCACGCCGUAAACGAUGAGUACUAGGUGUUGCGGGUAUUGACCCCUGCAGUGCCGCAGCUAACGCAAUAAGUAC
This 780-nucleotide ribosomal RNA is filed under the name uncultured bacterium. RNAcentral's name for it is "bacterial SSU rRNA". It matches the Rfam family "Bacterial small subunit ribosomal RNA", at positions 110 to 867 of the family's 1533-position model. The record is from RNAcentral.